UUUUUUAUCUUUUUGCAUUUGAUCUUUUCAAGUGGGCUUGGUCAGUAGUUCUCUUGUCUUUCCGAAGCUCGCACUGCUGAAGAAUGCUUGGUGGUUUUAGCUGUGAGAAAACAGCUGACAGACGGUCAAUACAAAGGCUUGCAUCCCAACCUCUGUUCUUCCCAUCACAACUAGUAUAAUAUACUAAAGUAGUAGAGAUGUAGUUAGAUGGAAGCAUAAAGAUUUGACUCUUUACUCAACAAACACCUUCACAGAAUAAGUCAUUCCAGUGCCUUCGUUGAAGAUUGUCAUGACAUUUAGAAAAUGUAAACACCUAGUUUGGAUUCUAACAGCAUACGAGUUAGCUGAGGCAGGUUUACCGUCGUGUUGCAUCACUAUUAUCUUUAUGCUUUUUGUUCUUAACAUGGUUUAAAACGUGGCGGCUGCUGUAUCUGUUGUCUAUUCCAUUCAAUGAAGAUAUGCUGUACGUUGUCCAGUUUUAAACAACCUUUUUCUGCUCUAGCCAGUGGUUUGUCAUUGAUCCAAAGCAACAAUUUGGUUUAUAUCUGGCAGUAAAGCGUUAUGAACAGUUUAAAUGUUUAUGCUGCUUUUAAAAAGGAAGCUGAUUGACAGUGGAGUAAAAGACUUCUUGAACCACAAAACAGUCCCACAGCAUGAGGCUACCACCGACCUGCUUGAUGGUUUGAAGGCCUCAAAGUGAGAAAAAUAACUAAAAAUUAGUCUUGCUUGACUAAUUCUGAAGGGAAAAUGUUCUCCAAAAGGCGUUUGGCUUGUCCAUAUCAAGUCUUCUUCUGCAUCCUGGUACAUUGGUGACACAUUUAAACACCUUGUACUUGGGUAUACUUGUUUGAACUGAGGAUUUUGGAUUCAUGAGAACCUUGGUGGGUCUGUUUCUGAAAUACUCGGAGCAGCCAGCCUGGAAGCAACAUUCAUGCUGCAUUCAAAGUCACUUGAAUCCCCUUUCUUCCACAUCCUGUACUUUGUUGAAACUUUAGGAAGUCAUCUUCACCACCUCCACGUCCCUAAAAUACACUAAGCUGCUGCCAUGUGGUUUUUCUCAUAGCUUUACGUGUUAACAAGCCUUUCAGCUGGUCUACCUAAUAAAGAGACCCAUGAGUGCAUUUUAAUCAAUACACAAUAUCAAUAAAAUCAAACUCACGUACCUGAUUCUUGUUUUUCAAAAUACACUUUGUAGUUUUACAAAGGAACAAAAAAACACAAUCUGUUCUAUUAGGUCUUUCAAAACCAAAAAAUUAAAGAUGACAUUUGUGUCCAAUAUAAACGUUAUGUAAACUUGUGACUGAAACUAUAGUAGACUCCCUUGUCAACGGAUGCAUUGUAUCAGUGAGACUAGAUAUGGCAUAGUUCUUAGCGACCACACUGUCUAUUAAUUGCAGACGUCCUGGCGUAAUUUCUCUGCAGUUUUGAUGCCGUUUAACAAAAAAAGGUUAUCUGUGCCAGCAGACAGAGGAAAACAUGAGGGGUAAAAAAAAAAACUCAAUCACACAUGAAUAAAUAGCUUAAAAGUCAUGGUUUUAAUUUUGGCCUUCAUUCUCUGAAAACAUCCUAAACUCCCUGAAUCUGCCCAUGGUUUUGUGCACUAUAGAAGCCAAAAAAGCAGGAUUAUUGAAGCGACCAUCACAACUGACAUUUUAACCUAUCGUACUGCUUGACGACUCUCUCAGAGGGUUUGCAAUAACAAAGGGUGACCCAAUUUCUGUGAAAAAUGAGUGUUUGGUAAAGAUUCCUUUGACACUCAACCUUCACCUUUCACAAGCGAUCAUAAAAGACUUUCAGAGCAGCGUUAGUUUUACUUUCCGUCUUUGACUUUUCCACUGUGCUGCCAACAAGUAUGUUGACAGGCGAAGGAACUGGAAACCAUUGAAUUUUAUCCCCUUUGUUUGUCAAGAAACUGUUUAGAGAAACCAAAAAUAGAAGUUUCGCUCUGUUUUUCUGACUUUCCAAUAAUAAAGGGUUUCUACACCUUAUUCAAGAAAUUUCUACUGUGAGCUUUAAAACAUUGAUCCUGCAAAGCCCAAGGAAGGAAGGACACAAGGAAAGUAGGGAUAAAAGGAAAGAAAUCAACUGCAAAUACAAGUGUCUCCAUCUUCCUUAUUUCUAUCCCAAUACGUAUUAUGAUCGACAGAAGUCAAAUUACUUUUCUAAUCGUCUGAGAACCCUCUGAAUAAUAUUGGAAAUCAG
This is a long non-coding RNA of Fundulus heteroclitus (mummichog), 2202 nucleotides long. RefSeq lists it as uncharacterized. Lineage: Eukaryota; Metazoa; Chordata; Actinopteri; Cyprinodontiformes; Fundulidae. The record is from RefSeq and is a predicted model, not a curated record. The transcript has 2 exons.